CCUACGGGUGGCAGCAGUGGGGAAUAUUGGACAAUGGGGGGAACCCUGAUCCAGCGACGCCGCGUGAGUGAAGAAGUAUUUCGGUAUGUAAAGCUCUAUCAGCAGGGAAGAAAAUGACGGUACCUGACUAAGAAGCCACGGCUAACUACGUGCCAGCAGCCGCGGUAAUACGGAGGGGGCAAGCGUUAGCCGGAUUUACUGGGUGUAAAGGGAGCGUAGUCGGUGCAGCAAGUCUGCUGUGAAAGGCCGGGGUCCAACCCCGGGACUGCAUUGGAAACUGUGGGUCUGGAGUACAGGAGAGGUAAGCGGAAUUCCUAGUGUAGCGGUGAAAUGCGUAGAUAUAAGGAGGAACACCAGUGGCGAAGGCGGCUUGCUGGACUGUAACUGACGUUGAGGCUCGAAAGCGUGGGGAGCAAACAGGAUUAGAUACCCUUGUAGUC
This 440-nucleotide ribosomal RNA is filed under the name uncultured bacterium. RNAcentral's name for it is "partial 16S ribosomal RNA". It matches the Rfam family "Bacterial small subunit ribosomal RNA", at positions 338 to 795 of the family's 1533-position model. The record is from RNAcentral.